This 235-nucleotide ribosomal RNA is filed under the name uncultured bacterium. Its description in RNAcentral is "partial 16S ribosomal RNA". It matches the Rfam family "Bacterial small subunit ribosomal RNA", at positions 524 to 754 of the family's 1533-position model. The record is from RNAcentral.
UACGUAGGGGGGCAAGCGUUGUCCGGAUUUUAUUGGGCGUAAAGAGCGUGUAGGCGGCCAGGUAGGUCUGCUGUGAAAACUCGAGGCUCAACCUCGAGACGUCGGCGGAAACCAUCUGGCUAGAGUCCGGAAGAGGAGAGUGGAAUUCCGGGGUGUAGCGGUGGAAUGCGUAGAGAUCCGGAAGAACACCGGUGGCGAAGGCGGCCCGCUGGGGAUCUGGCUGACGCUGAGGCGC